This 844-nucleotide ribosomal RNA is filed under the name Schizoparmaceae sp. SK-2023a. RNAcentral describes it as "partial large subunit ribosomal RNA". It matches the Rfam family "Eukaryotic large subunit ribosomal RNA", at positions 559 to 1408 of the family's 3401-position model. The record is from RNAcentral. Lineage: Eukaryota; Fungi; Ascomycota; Sordariomycetes; Diaporthales; Schizoparmaceae.
GGGAGGGUGUUAUAGCCUGCCGUACGAUACCCUAGCGGAGACCGAGGUUCGCGCUCCGCAAGGAUGCUGGCGUAAUGGUCAUCAGCGACCCGUCUUGAAACACGGACCAAGGGAGUCGUCCAUUAGAGCGAGCGUUUGGGUGUAAAACCCGCACGCGUAAUGAAAGUGAAAUUAGGUGAGAGCUUCGGCGCAUCAUCGACCGAUCCUGAUGUUCUCGGAUGGAUUUGAGUAAGAGUUUUAACGGACGGACCCGAAAGACAGUGAACUAUGCUUGUAUAGGGUGAAGCCAGAGGAAACUCUGGUGGAGGCUCGCAGCGGUUCUGACGUGCAAAUCGAUCGUCAAAUAUGAGCAUGGGGGCGAAAGACUAAUCGAACUGUCUAGUAGCUGGUUACCGCCGAAGUUUCCCUCAGGAUAGCAGUGUUGACCUUCAGUUUUAUGAGGUAAAGCGAAUGAUUAGGGACUCGGGGGCGCUUUUUAGCCUUCAUCCAUUCUCAAACUUUAAAUAUGUAAGAAGCCCUUGUUACUUAAUUGAACGUGGGCAUUCGAAUGUACCAACACUAGUGGGCCAUUUUUGGUAAGCAGAACUGGCGAUGCGGGAUGAACCGAACGCGGGGUUAAGGCGCCAGAGUGUACGCUCAUCAGACACCACAAAAGGCGUUAGUACAUCUUGACAGCAGGACGGUGGCCAUGGAAGUCGGAAUCCGCUAAGGACUGUGUAACAACUCACCUGCCGAAUGUACUAGCCCUGAAAAUGGAUGGCGCUCAAGCGUACCGCCCAUACCCCGCCCUCAGGGUAGAAACGAUGCCCUGAGGAGUAGGCGGCCGUGGAGGUUAGUGACGAAG